AGCGUUGAGUUUUCUGACAGGUUGAUGAGUCCACGAUUUGGACUCAUCUAGGGCUAUAUUUUGAUAGAAUUAGUAUCUUCAAAUGCAUAUUUUGUCUCAAUAAUCUGAUGAAAAUCUUUAAGUUUCAGGUAUUUGGAGUUUGAGGGAAAGCAUGGACACUACUUAGCAAAAAGGAACAAUCGGUGAGUCGCCAUAAGGUUUUAUCCUCGCCUUUUGUUUCAGUGUGCUAAGCCCUGAAGGAAAGGAUCAAAUCUGCGGUGAAAAGGAGCAGUCGGCGUGUCGCCGAGUAGUUUCGUGAAGCAGUACUAUAUCGCCUAAUGAUCCAAAACACGACGAUGCUGAAGGAUAGAGCAAGACCGCCGAGUUGAUCGGCGAUCCCAACUAACUGCGCCUACUGAUCCGUUGCAGC
Molecule: long non-coding RNA, 409 nt
Filed under: Solanum tuberosum (potato)
Lineage: Eukaryota; Viridiplantae; Streptophyta; Magnoliopsida; Solanales; Solanaceae
Description: long non-coding RNA (STUB_LNC007338)
Source: RNAcentral